This 30-nucleotide non-coding RNA is filed under the name Mus musculus (house mouse). Lineage: Eukaryota; Metazoa; Chordata; Mammalia; Rodentia; Muridae. The record is from RNAcentral.
UGGAACAGAUAGGAAGCUUUGAAGAUAUAU